AUUGGCAUAGCUAAAGCGUCGGUUUGCCAACUAAUUCACAUUACAGGGAUCAAGAGUUUCGGCUGUCACCAUCUCAAAUGAUCAUUUAUUGGACAACGGGAAUUAUACAGAAAAUCUACAUCACAAAUUAAGAGUAAAUCAUUAUCGGGAUUUAGGAUAAUGAUAACAGAAAAAGAGCAAACGAUGAGAUGGAAACUUGGGUGAGUCCAUGCAUGCAUGCAUGGUCCUUCCACAUAUCUUAUCAGAAGAUUUUCAAUAACAGAAAGUCAUUCAGCAAAUGCAUCUUCCAUUACAAAAGGGAUUGCAGAUAAUCUCUUGGAGUUUGCGCCCCAAAGCCAAAUUCAAGACUUGGACAUUAUUCUCAGAGGAAUCUGAAGCUGAAUGCUCCGCAGCCAUAGCCACAGCCCAGCUGCUAAGGUGGCUCUGAAGUGCAAUAAAAAUGACAAAUGCCACAAAUAUUAGUACUGCAAAUUUGGCCAUUUUUUAGCACUAGAAGAUAU
RNAcentral lists this long non-coding RNA (500 nucleotides) under Coffea arabica (coffee). RNAcentral describes it as "long non-coding RNA (CARA_LNC002939)". The record is from RNAcentral. Lineage: Eukaryota; Viridiplantae; Streptophyta; Magnoliopsida; Gentianales; Rubiaceae.